CAGUCGCCCGGGAACACGAAGGGUGCAAGCGUUAAUCGGAAUUACUGGGCGUAAAGCGUGCGUAGGCGGUGAGUUAAGUCUGCUGUGAAAUCCCCGGGCUCAACCUGGGAAUGGCAGUGGAUACUGGCUCGCUAGAGUGUGUCAGAGGAUGGUGGAAUUCCCGGUGUAGCGGUGAAAUGCGUAGAGAUCGGGAGGAACAUCAGUGGCGAAGGCGGCCAUCUGGGACAACACUGACGCUGAGGCACGAAAGCGUGGGGAGCAAACAGGAUUAGAUACCCCGGUAGUCCCUGUCUCUUAUACA
Molecule: ribosomal RNA, 301 nt
Filed under: uncultured bacterium
Lineage: Bacteria
Description: partial 16S ribosomal RNA
Rfam family: Bacterial small subunit ribosomal RNA
Source: RNAcentral